RNAcentral lists this ribosomal RNA (393 nucleotides) under uncultured bacterium. RNAcentral describes it as "partial 16S ribosomal RNA". It matches the Rfam family "Bacterial small subunit ribosomal RNA", at positions 523 to 918 of the family's 1533-position model. The record is from RNAcentral.
AUACGGAGGAUCCGAGCGUUAUCCGGAUUUAUUGGGUUUAAAGGGAGCGCAGGCGGAGAUGCAAGCGUGACGUCAAAUUUCGGGGCUCAACCCCGUCUCGCGUCGCGAACUGCGUCCCUUGGUUGCGGGAAGGGGAGGCGGAACUUGUGGUGUAGGGGGGAAAUGCAUAGAUAUCACGAAGAACUCCGAUCGCGAAGGCAGCCUUCCGGCCCGUCAACGACGCUCAUGCUCGAAGGUGCGGGUAUCAAACAGGAUUAGAUACCCUGGUAGUCCGCACAGUAAACGAUGGACACCCGCGGUUUGGCCUGUAUGGCUGAGCCGCCAAGCGAAAGCGUUAAGUGUCCCACCUGGGGAGUACGCCGGCAACGGUGAAACUCAAAGGAAUUGACGGGG